Molecule: microRNA precursor, 91 nt
Filed under: Paramuricea clavata
Lineage: Eukaryota; Metazoa; Cnidaria; Anthozoa; Malacalcyonacea; Plexauridae
Source: RNAcentral
AAGGCGGGCGCGAAAAGACGAAGGCGGCGAAAGAAGGAAGAAUUAAAUUCUUCCUUCUUUCGCCGCCUUCGUCUUUUCGCGCCCGCGGUCC